GACGAACGCUGGCGGCGUGCUUAACACAUGCAAGUCGAACGGAAAGGCCCUGCUUUUGUGGGGUGCUCGAGUGGCGAACGGGUGAGUAACACGUGAGUAACCUGCCCUUGACUUUGGGAUAACUUCAGGAAACUGGGGCUAAUACCGGAUAGGAGCUCCUGCUGCAUGGGGGGGGUUGGAAAGUUUCGGCGGUUGGGGAUGGACUCGCGGCUUAUCAGCUUGUUGGUGGGGUAGUGGCUUACCAAGGCUUUGACGGGUAGCCGGCCUGAGAGGGUGACCGGCCACAUUGGGACUGACAUACGGCCCAGACUCCUACGGGAGGCAGCAGUGGGGAAUAUUGCACAAUGGGCGGAAGCCUGAUGCAGCAACGCCGCGUGCGGGAUGACGGCCUUCGGGUUGUAAACCGCUUUCGCCUGUGACGAAGCGUGAGUGACGGUAAUGGGUAAAGAAGCACCGGCUAACUACGUG
Molecule: ribosomal RNA, 468 nt
Filed under: uncultured bacterium
Lineage: Bacteria
Description: partial 16S ribosomal RNA
Rfam family: Bacterial small subunit ribosomal RNA
Source: RNAcentral